RNAcentral lists this ribosomal RNA (484 nucleotides) under uncultured bacterium. RNAcentral's name for it is "partial 16S ribosomal RNA". It matches the Rfam family "Bacterial small subunit ribosomal RNA", at positions 30 to 507 of the family's 1533-position model. The record is from RNAcentral.
AUUGAACGCUGGCGGCAGGCCUAACACAUGCAAGUCGAGCGGAUGAAGGGAGCUUGCUCCUGGAUUCAGCGGCGGACGGGUGAGUAAUGCCUAGGAAUCUGCCUGGUAGUGGGGGAUAACGUCCGGAAACGGGCGCUAAUACCGCAUACGUCCUGAGGGAGAAAGUGGGGGAUCUUCGGACCUCACGCUAUCAGAUGAGCCUAGGUCGGAUUAGCUAGUUGGUGGGGUAAAGGCCUACCAAGGCGACGAUCCGUAACUGGUCUGAGAGGAUGAUCAGUCACACUGGAACUGGGACACGGUCCAGACUCCUACGGGAGGCAGCAGUCGGGAAUAUUGGACAAUGGGCGAAAGCCUGGUCCAGCCAUGCCGCGUGUGUGAAGAAGGUCUUCGGAUUGUAAAGCACUUUAAGUUGGGAGGAAGGGCAGUAAGUUAAUACCUUGCUGUUUUGACGUUACCAACAGAAUAAGCACCGGCUAACUUCGUG